CUGGCAGUAAACGGUGCACGUUUGGUGUGGGCGCAAUCGACCGCGUCCGCGCCGGAGCUAACGCGUUAAACGUGCCGCCUGGGAAGUACGGUCGCAAGAUUAAAACUCAAAGAAAUUGACGGGGACCCGCACAAGCGGUGGAGUAUGUGGCUUAAUUCGAUGCAACGCGAAGAACCUUACCUGGUCUUGACAUGCAUUGUGUCUCCGGUGAAAGCCGGAUAGGGUAGCAAUACCCGCUUUGCACAGGUGC
This 250-nucleotide ribosomal RNA is filed under the name uncultured bacterium. Its description in RNAcentral is "partial 16S ribosomal RNA". It matches the Rfam family "Bacterial small subunit ribosomal RNA", at positions 796 to 1041 of the family's 1533-position model. The record is from RNAcentral.